AUGCACAUAUUGUGAGCUUGAUGAGUAGGGCGGGACACGUGGUAUCCUGUCUGAAUAUGGGGGGACCAUCCUCCAAGGCUAAAUACUCCUGACUGACCGAUAGUGAACCAGUACCGUGAGGGAAAGGCGAAAAGAACCCCGGCGAGGGGAGUGAAAAAGAACCUGAAACCGUGUACGUACAAGCAGUGGGAGCACGCUUAGGCGUGUGACUGCGUACCUUUUGUAUAAUGGGUCAGCGACUUAUAUUCUGUAGCAAGGUUAACCGAAUAGGGGAGCCGAAGGGAAACCGAGUCUUAACUGGGCGUUAAGUUGCAGGGUAUAGACCCGAAACCCGGUGAUCUAGCCAUGGGCAGGUUGAAGGUUGGGUAACACUAACUGGAGGACCGAACCGACUAAUGUUGAAAAAUUAGCGGAUGACUUGUGGCUGGGGGUGAAAGGCCAAUCAAACCGGGAGAUAGCUGGUUCUCCCCGAAAGCUAUUUAGGUAGCGCCUCGUGAAUUCAUCUCCGGGGGUAGAGCACUGUUUCGGCAAGGGGGUCAUCCCGACUUACCAACCCGAUGCAAACUGCGAAUACCGGAGAAUGUUAUCACGGGAGACACACGGCGGGUGCUAACGUCCGUCGUGAAGAGGGAAACAACCCAGACCGCCAGCUAAGGUCCCAAAGUCAUGGUUAAGUGGGAAACGAUGUGGGAAGGCCCAGACAGCCAGGAUGUUGGCUUAGAAGCAGCCAUCAUUUAAAGAAAGCGUAAUAGCUCACUGGUCGAGUCGGCCUGCGCGGAAGAUGUAACGGGGCUAAACCAU
RNAcentral lists this ribosomal RNA (801 nucleotides) under Shigella sonnei. RNAcentral describes it as "partial 23S ribosomal RNA". It matches the Rfam family "Bacterial large subunit ribosomal RNA", at positions 388 to 1190 of the family's 2925-position model. Lineage: Bacteria; Pseudomonadati; Pseudomonadota; Gammaproteobacteria; Enterobacterales; Enterobacteriaceae. The record is from RNAcentral.